This 365-nucleotide ribosomal RNA is filed under the name uncultured bacterium. Its description in RNAcentral is "bacterial SSU rRNA". It matches the Rfam family "Bacterial small subunit ribosomal RNA", at positions 1116 to 1482 of the family's 1533-position model. The record is from RNAcentral.
UGCCAUCAUUGAGUUGGGCACUCUGGAGGGACUGCCGGUGUCAAACCGGAGGAAGGUGGGGAUGACGUCAAGUCCUCAUGGCCUUUAUGACCAGGGCUACACACGUGCUACAAUGGCCGGUACAAAGGGUCGCCAACCCGCGAGGGGGAGCUAAUCCCAAAAAACCGGUCUCAGUUCGGAUUGGAGUCUGCAACUCGACUCCAUGAAGUCGGAAUCGCUAGUAAUCGCAGAUCAGCACGCUGCGGUGAAUACGUUCCCGGGCCUUGUACACACCGCCCGUCACACCAUGGGAGUCGAUUGCUCCAGAAGUCGGUGCGCCAACCGCAAGGAGGCAGCCGCCCAAGGAGUGGUCGGUAACUGGGGUG